RNAcentral lists this ribosomal RNA (460 nucleotides) under uncultured bacterium. Its description in RNAcentral is "partial 16S ribosomal RNA". It matches the Rfam family "Bacterial small subunit ribosomal RNA", at positions 338 to 795 of the family's 1533-position model. The record is from RNAcentral.
CCUACGGGUGGCAGCAGUGAGGAAUAUUUGUCAAUGGGCGCGAGCCUGAACCAGCCAAGUAGCGUGAAGGAUGACUGCCCUACGGGUUGUAAACUUCUUUUAUAAAGGAAUAAAGUGAGGCACGUGUGCCUUUUUGUAUGUACUUUAUGAAUAAGGAUCGGCUAACUCCGUGCCAGCAGCAGCGGUAAUAAGGAGGAUCCGAGCGUUAUCCGGAUUGAUUGGGGUUAAAGGGAUCGUAGGUGGGUUGUUAAGUCAGUUGUGAAAGUGUGCGGCUCAACCGGAAAAUUGCAAUUGAUACUGGCAGUCUUGAGUACAGUUGAGGUAGGCGGAAUUCGUGGUGUAGCGGUGAAAUGCUUAGAUAUCACGAAGAACUCCGAUUGCGAAGGCAGCUUACUAAACUGCCACUGACAUUGAUGCUCGAAAGUGUGGGUAUCAAACAGGAUUAGAUACCCUUGUAGUC